CUGAAUGGAUGGCGCUCUAGCGUCGUGCCUAUACCGGGCCGUCAACGGCAAAGUGGGCUAGUGCCCGGCCGGUCCUCGCGGCCGGCCGGCUUGGCCGUUAAGCCUUGACGAGUAGGAGGCGCGCGGCGGUGUGCGCAGAAGGGUCUGGGCGCGAGCCUGCCUGGAGCCGCCGUCGGUGCAGAUCUUGGUGGUAGUAGCAAAUACUCUAGCGAGGGCCUGGAGGGCUGAAGUGGAGAAGGGUUUCUUGUGAACAGCCGUUGCACAAGAGUCAGUCGACCCUAAGCCCUAGGAGAAAUCCGAUGUUGAUGGGCAGCUAUCAUGCGGCCGUUUAACUACGGCCAAACGACUGCUCCCGUCGGGCGAAAGGGAAUCCGGUUCCUAUUCCGGAACCCGGCUGCGGAACCGUAACUUCGCGGGCACUCGCCUGCGAGCGCUCGUCGGGGUAACCCAAAAUGACCCGGAGACGCCGGCGGGAGGUCUGGAAAGAGUUGUCUUUUCUAUAUAAGCGUUCGAGUUCCCUGGAAUCCUAUAGCAGGGAGAUAGGGUUUGGAACGCGAAGAGCACCGCAGUUGCGGCGGUGUCCGGACUUUCCCCCCGGACCUUGAAAAUCCAGGUAAGGGCUACGCGGAUUGUCGCGCCGGCUCGUACCCAUAUCCGCAGCAGGUCUCCAA
Molecule: ribosomal RNA, 671 nt
Filed under: Macrodaruma pertinax
Lineage: Eukaryota; Metazoa; Arthropoda; Insecta; Hemiptera; Issidae
Description: eukaryotic LSU rRNA
Rfam family: Eukaryotic large subunit ribosomal RNA
Source: RNAcentral